Molecule: transfer RNA, 83 nt
Filed under: Tateyamaria omphalii
Lineage: Bacteria; Pseudomonadati; Pseudomonadota; Alphaproteobacteria; Rhodobacterales; Roseobacteraceae
Description: tRNA-Gly
Source: RNAcentral
UCAAGAUGUGCCCGAGCUGCUUCAAGGUCGGGUUUCCCAGACCCGACAGACGGGUCCGCAUGUGCUAGCCAAGCUGCAUUGAU